Molecule: ribosomal RNA, 565 nt
Filed under: Hormonema sp.
Lineage: Eukaryota; Fungi; Ascomycota; Dothideomycetes; Dothideales; Dothioraceae
Description: eukaryotic LSU rRNA
Rfam family: 5.8S ribosomal RNA (bases 211-364)
Source: RNAcentral
CCGUAGGUGAACCUGCGGAAGGAUCAUUAAAGAGAUAGGGUCUUCAUGGCCCGACCUCCAACCCUCUGUUGUUAAAACUACCUUGUUGCUUUGGCGGGACCGUCUCGGUCUCCGAGCGCACUAACCCUCGGGUUGGUGAGCGCCCGCCAGAGUCCAACCAAACUCUUGUAUUAAACCAGUCGUCUGAGUAUAAAAUUUUAAUUAAAUUAAAACUUUCAACAACGGAUCUCUUGGUUCUCGCAUCGAUGAAGAACGCAGCGAAAUGCGAUAAGUAAUGUGAAUUGCAGAAUUCAGUGAAUCAUCGAAUCUUUGAACGCACAUUGCGCCCCUUGGUAUUCCGAGGGGCAUGCCUGUUCGAGCGUCAUUACACCACUCAAGCAUCGCUUGGUAUUGGGAACGGUCCGUCGAAAGGCGGGCCUUCCUCGAAGACCUCGGCGGGGUUCAACCAACUUCGGGCGUAGUAGAGUUAAAUCGAACGUCUUAUAAGCUUGGUCGGAUCUCAUUGCCGUUAAACCUUUAAAUUUUCUAGGUUGACCUCGGAUCAGGUAGGGAUACCCGCUGAACU